RNAcentral lists this ribosomal RNA (422 nucleotides) under uncultured bacterium. Its description in RNAcentral is "bacterial SSU rRNA". It matches the Rfam family "Bacterial small subunit ribosomal RNA", at positions 355 to 774 of the family's 1533-position model. The record is from RNAcentral.
UGAGGAAUAUUGGUCAAUGGGGGCAACCCUGAACCAGCCAAGUCGCGUGAAGGAUGAAGGUCUUAUGGAUUGUAAACUUCUUUUACACGGGAAUAAAGCGGGGGACGUGUCCCUCUUUGCAUGUACCGUGUGAAUAAGGAUCGGCUAACUCCGUGCCAGCAGCCGCGGUAAUACGGAGGAUCCGAGCGUUAUCCGGAUUUAUUGGGUUUAAAGGGUGCGCAGGCGGGAUGUUAAGUCGGCGGUGAAAUUUUGCAGCUCAACUGUAAAAGUGCCUUCGAUACUGGCCUUCUUGAGUGUGGAUGAAGUAGGCGGAAUUUGUGGUGCAGCGGUGAAAUGCUUAGAUAUCACGAGGAGCUCCGAUUGCGCAGGCAGCUUACUAAGCCACAACUGACGCUCAUGCACGAAGGCGUGGGGAUCAAACA